This 318-nucleotide small nucleolar RNA is filed under the name Leptosomus discolor (cuckoo roller). Its description in RNAcentral is "Small Cajal body-specific RNA 7". It matches the Rfam family "Small Cajal body-specific RNA 7". Lineage: Eukaryota; Metazoa; Chordata; Aves; Leptosomiformes; Leptosomidae. The record is from Rfam by way of RNAcentral.
UGGAAGUGAUGAAAUAGAGAUAAUUGGAUGUCUCUUUGAACGGAGUGCGUGUGAUAAGUGGAAUUUAAACAUCAUCAAACUGGGGGUGGGGUGUGGGGAGUGUGUGUGUGUGUGUGUGUAUGGAAAAGGCUUGGAACGGGGGCACUGACAAUGCAGUGCUGAUUCCGGAGUGCAUCUGAGGCGUGUUGUUAAAUUCUGGGGUGUCCCUUUACAACAUUGCCGAUGAUUAAAGCCCAAAACAAGCCCACCAAGACAAGCCUAGGCAUCCUUAAUCUCGAACAGGUUCACUCAUGGAAGUGAUCCUGUGAUCUGAUCCAA